Molecule: ribosomal RNA, 466 nt
Filed under: uncultured bacterium
Lineage: Bacteria
Description: partial 16S ribosomal RNA
Rfam family: Bacterial small subunit ribosomal RNA
Source: RNAcentral
GACGAACGCUGGCGGCGUGCUUAACACAUGCAAGUCGAACGGAAAGGCCCAGCUUGCUGGGUACUCGAGUGGCGAACGGGUGAGUAACACGUGGGUGAUCUGCCCCUGACUUUGGGAUAAGCCUGGGAAACUGGGUCUAAUACCGGAUAUGACCUUACAUCGCAUGGUGUUUGGUGGAAAGCUUUUGCGGUUGGGGAUGGGCCCGCGGCCUAUCAGCUUGUUGGUGGGGUAAUGGCCUACCAAGGCGACGACGGGUAGCCGACCUGAGAGGGUGAUCGGCCACACUGGGACUGAGACACGGCCCAGACUCCUACGGGAGGCAGCAGUGGGGAAUAUUGCACAAUGGGCGCAAGCCUGAUGCAGCGACGCCGCGUGAGGGAUGACGGCCUUCGGGUUGUAAACCUCUUUCACCAGGGACGAAGCGUGAGUGACGGUACCUGGAGAAGAGGCACCGGCCAACUACGUG